GACGAACGCUGGCGGCGUGCUUAACACAUGCAAGUCGAGCGGUAAGGCCCUUUCGGGGGUACACGAGCGGCGAACGGGUGAGUAACACGUGGGUGACCUGCCCUCAGCUCUGGGAUAAGCCUGGGAAACCGGGUCUAAUACCGGAUAUGACUCCAUGACGCAUGUUGUGGGGUGGAAAGCCUUGUGCGGCUGAGGAUGGGCCCGCGGCCUAUCAGCUUGUUGGUGGGGUGANGGCCUACCAAGGCGACGACGGGUAGCCGGCCUGAGAGGGCGACGGCC
RNAcentral lists this ribosomal RNA (279 nucleotides) under uncultured bacterium. RNAcentral describes it as "partial 16S ribosomal RNA". It matches the Rfam family "Bacterial small subunit ribosomal RNA", at positions 28 to 309 of the family's 1533-position model. The record is from RNAcentral.